AAGAAAAAGCUGCAGAAUUACCUUAUAUCGUUAGUCAGCUGGUUUUACCGACCCUCAUCGAAUAUCAAAAUCCCGGAGGCAGGGCGGCUGAUGCGGCGGGAAGAACAAAGUGAGCGACUGUGAGAAAUCGUCAUGGAAAUAGGGGGUAAAAUUCAGAGCUGGGCGCCAAAUCUUCCAAAGAUGGGAAGUGGAAGCAACACAUUUACGGUCGAUGACGCACUCAUCUCACAAGGGUUUGGGUACUUCCAGGUCCUUGUGCUUGCUUAUGCUGGCAUGGGUUGGAUUUCGGAGGCGACAGAAAUGAUGCUUCUUUCAUUUGUAGGACCUUCUGUACAAGUUCAGUGGAAUCUUUCUUCACAUGAGGAGAGCUUGAUUACUAGUGUUGUGUUUGUGGGCAUGCUAAUUGGAGCAUACUCGUGGGGCGUAGUUUCUGAUAACUAUGGGCGGAGGGUUGGGUUUCUAUUUACAGCCAUAGUUACUAGUGGAGCAGGUCUUCUUAGUGCUUUUGCUCCAAAUUAUAUUUCCUUGCUUCUCCUUCGAUUUGUGGUUGGCAUCGGUUUGGGAGGUGGACCCGUCCUUGCUUCGUGGUUUUUAGAGUUUGUUCCAGCUCCAAAUAGAGGUACGUGGAUGGUGAUUUUCCAAGGCUUCUGGACUAUUGGUACCAUCUUGGAGGCUUCUCUUGCUUGGGCUGUUAUGCCAAAAUUGGGUUGGAGGUGGCUGUUAGUAUUUUCUUCAAUACCAUCUUUUCUUCUGCUAUUAUUCUACCGCAUCGUCCCCGAGUCUCCAAGGUAUCUUUGCAUGAAAGGUCGAACAUCUGAAGCAAUGCAUAUUUUGGAGAAGAUGGCAAGAACAAAUCGAGCGACACUUCCGCCUGGUGUUCUUGUUUCUGAUAUAAGGACUGAGCUUGAUGAAAAUCCCCAUCCUUCUGAAUCCACAAAUUUGAUAAAUGUUCAGGAUAAAAAAACUAAAGUUGUUGAUGAAGUAGAACCUAAAACAGGUGGCAUCUCCGCCUUCUCCAAACUUCUAUCACCAGAAUUGAUCAGAUCUACACUUCUGCUUUGGAUCACUUUCUUUGGCAAUGCAUUUUCAUAUUAUGGAAUUGUCUUGCUAACCUCUGAGUUGAGCGGUGGAAGUAGUAAUUGUGCGUCAGAAUCUAUAAUAAGCCAUUCAGUUGGGAGCAGCCUCUACAAAAAUGUCUUCAUCAGUAGUUUUGCCGAGGUUCCUGGACUUCUUUUGUCAGCUACUAUUGUGGAUAGGCUCGGUCGCAAACUUUCAAUGUCAGCUAUGCUUUUUAUAAGUUGUGCUUUCUUGUUGCCUCUUGUAGUUGAACAGAAUGAAGCAAUCACUACAAUACUUUUAUUUGGUGCUCGGGUCUGUAUUUCUGGAAGCUUCAACAUUGUCUAUGUAUAUGCACCAGAGAUAUAUCCUACCUCUCUUAGGACCACUGGAGUUGGAACUGCAAGCUCUGUGGGAAGAAUAGGAGGGAUGUUGUGUCCUCUAGUGGCUGUUGCUUUGGUGCAUGGCUGCCAUCAGACGAUAGCACUUCUGUUGUUUGAACUUGUACUUUUCCUUUCUGGAAUGGCUGUUAUAUUUUUUCCACUGGAAACUAGCGGCAAGGGAUUGGCAGAUUCUGUGAGGAGUAUGAAGUGAAGAAGGCAACUUUUUGGAGCACUUUUUCCUUGUUUCUGUUAGAAUUAUAUGACAAGCUUAGCGAAGAAAUCUCAACAGAAAGAAAGGAUCUGAUUAUACCAUUUCAAGAUGUAAUGAUGGAGGUUGCCUGACUUAUCUUCUCAAUUUAUGAGGAAUAAAACUUACCUUCUGCCCUAGCUUGAUGCUUUGGUGGGCUUGGCGAAAGAGUGUUUGCUGGUGGCCUAAAUCCUCUGGACUUGUAUUACAAUAGCUAGUACUUUUUUUAACAUGAUUUGUUGAAUUUAUCAGACUAAAAAGUCUCCUUAAUUAAACUUCUAAAUUUUGACAAAUUUGAAAUGUGUCUUCAACCUUUGCAAUGACCGCAUAUUUACUUGAAGAUAUUAGCUUCUGCCAUGCAUUCAUAUAGUGAUAGUAUCAUGUGUGAUUUUAAGUAUUUAUUUGGGGAUCAAUGUUAACCUAAAUAAAUAUUUAAAAUGUCCAAUGUCUUAAAGAAAAAUUUUAACUGUCAUUAGAUUUUUUUUUUAAAUGCCCCCUGUCAUGUAGGAGAAUUUCUAAGACAUCUUAGAAAUAUAUUCUUUCUUUGUAAAGGGAAUGAUCUUCGACUUGUUUUUCUAAGAAUGUAUUUUUUCAUAUAACUAUCAUUGAUCUGGGGUAUAGGUCGCCGACCUUCCAAAUUAGUGAGUUGAUAGGCUCCUCUCUUAUAUACCUUCUUGAUGAUAAAAGAGCCUUCCCAAUUUGAUCUCUCCCUUUGAAAAUCCUUUAGAACUUGUCUUUAUGAGAAGCCUCUCACAGUACUCACAAAGAUUUUCUUAGGAAUUUUUCUUAUGUCCAAAAUUCAUAAUCUCUUUGUAGCAGUCGCAGGUAUACUCUUUUCAUUCCUCUCAAAACAUUGAUCAUGGUUUUUUUUUUCACAUCCACUAUGGAAUAUCUAUGAAGCUCAUCUUGGUCUGUUGGUUGUGAGCUUUGAUUACUAAUCAAGAGAUCUUGGUUUCGAGUCUUGAGUAUGUGAGGUAUGUGUUAGUUUGCCUUAAUUGGACUAAAUGCCCAAAAAAAAAA
RNA transcript from Dendrobium catenatum, 2706 nucleotides. It is a transcript of the gene named organic cation/carnitine transporter 7, with no coding region annotated. NCBI's taxonomy places the organism in Eukaryota, Viridiplantae, Streptophyta, Magnoliopsida, Asparagales, Orchidaceae. The transcript has 7 exons. The record is from RefSeq and is a predicted model, not a curated record.